AACUUUUACUCUUACUUUCCCGAACAUUUUCCGUGCAACUGCGAAUGGCUCAUUAAAUCAGGUAUCGUUUAUUUGAUAGUACCUUACUACUUGGAUAACCGUGGUAAUUCUAGAGCUAAUACAUGCUGAAAACCCCAACUUCGGGAGGGGUGAAUUUAUUAGAUAAAAAACCAACGCCCUUCGGGGCUUCUUGGUGAUUCAUGAUAACUUCCCGGAUCGCAUGGCCUUGCGCCGGCGACGGUUCAUUCAAAUUUCUGCCCUAUCAACUUUCGAUGGUAAGGUAUUGGCUUACCAUGGCCCCCACGGGUAACGGGGAAUUAGGGUUCGAUUCCGGAGAGGGAGCCUGAAAAACGGCUACCACAUCCAAGGAAGGCGCAGGUGCGCAAAUUACCCAAUCCCGACACGGGGAGGUAGUGACGAUAACUUCUGAUACGGGGCUCUAUUGGGUCUUGUAUCUGUGGUGAGUGCAAUUUAAACCUCUUAUCGAGGAAAAAUUGGAGGGUAAGCCUGGUGACAGUAGCCGCGAUAAGUCCACGUCUGUUACUGUCUAUUAAAACUGUUGCCGUAAUAAGCUCGGAGUUGGAUUUGCGCCGGUUGUACAUCGCCUCUCCUCCAAACAUGUCGGCCUGCUCUAACUUAGGAUUUUUCAUGACUUAAUUUGUGUUUGUCCCCCCCGGGUUUUUGUUUGAAGUUAUAAGAUGGAAAAGACAGGGCUCCCCGCAACACCACGCAUGAUAAAUACCUUAAGGACUAAAUUGUGUUUUUAUUUGUUAAAUCAUAAAUUAAUUAACCUAUUGCAUUCAGUUCGAUUGCCUGGAGGCAGUUCCCCCACGUCCCUGAUUUCUUUCCCAUACUUGCCAAUUAACUCACCACCAUCGUAACCUUAAGACGGAGCUAUCUCUUAUUCCUCCGUUCUGAUUGUGCUUUGUUCUACUCCUCGUUCUCCUCCUGGAUAUUGGCUGCUAGUCGCUUACCACCAUCCCGAUCCACAAUCCAUUGUCCACCUUAGACUCUGAUGUAUUGAGCCUGAUU
This 1032-nucleotide ribosomal RNA is filed under the name Dothidotthia aspera. RNAcentral describes it as "partial small subunit ribosomal RNA". It matches the Rfam family "Eukaryotic small subunit ribosomal RNA", at positions 68 to 776 of the family's 1831-position model. Lineage: Eukaryota; Fungi; Ascomycota; Dothideomycetes; Pleosporales; Dothidotthiaceae. The record is from RNAcentral.